CCUACGGGUGGCUGCAGUCGAGAAUCAUUCACAAUGGGGGAAACCCUGAUGGGGCGACGCCGCGUGGGGGAAUGAAGGUCUGCGGAUUGUAAACCCCUGUCAUGUGGGAGCAAAUUAAAAAGAUAGUACCACAAGAGGAAGAGACGGCGAACGCGGAGCCAGCAGCCGCGGUAAUACAGAGGUCUCAAGCGUUGUUCGGAAUCACUGGGCGGAAAGCGUGCGUAGGCUUUUUCGUAAGUCGUGUGUGAAAGGCGCUGGCUCCCCCCGCGGACGGCACCUGAUACUGCGAGACUAGUGUACUGGACGGGGCACCGGAUUUCUCGGUGUAGCCGU
RNAcentral lists this ribosomal RNA (333 nucleotides) under uncultured bacterium. RNAcentral describes it as "partial 16S ribosomal RNA". It matches the Rfam family "Bacterial small subunit ribosomal RNA", at positions 338 to 682 of the family's 1533-position model. The record is from RNAcentral.